RNAcentral lists this ribosomal RNA (2931 nucleotides) under Escherichia coli. RNAcentral describes it as "bacterial LSU rRNA". It matches the Rfam family "Bacterial large subunit ribosomal RNA". Lineage: Bacteria; Pseudomonadati; Pseudomonadota; Gammaproteobacteria; Enterobacterales; Enterobacteriaceae. The record is from RNAcentral.
GGGUUGUGAGGUUAAGCGACUAAGCGUACACGGUGGAUGCCCUGGCAGUCAGAGGCGAUGAAGGACGUGCUAAUCUGCGAUAAGCGUCGGUAAGGUGAUAUGAACCGUUAUAACCGGCGAUUUCCGAAUGGGGAAACCCAGUGUGUUUCGACACACUAUCAUUAACUGAAUCCAUAGGUUAAUGAGGCGAACCGGGGGAACUGAAACAUCUAAGUACCCCGAGGAAAAGAAAUCAACCGAGAUUCCCCCAGUAGCGGCGAGCGAACGGGGAGCAGCCCAGAGCCUGAAUCAGUGUGUGUGUUAGUGGAAGCGUCUGGAAAGGCGCGCGAUACAGGGUGACAGCCCCGUACACAAAAAUGCACAUGCUGUGAGCUCGAUGAGUAGGGCGGGACACGUGGUAUCCUGUCUGAAUAUGGGGGGACCAUCCUCCAAGGCUAAAUACUCCUGACUGACCGAUAGUGAACCAGUACCGUGAGGGAAAGGCGAAAAGAACCCCGGCGAGGGGAGUGAAAAAGAACCUGAAACCGUGUACGUACAAGCAGUGGGAGCACGCUUAGGCGUGUGACUGCGUACCUUUUGUAUAAUGGGUCAGCGACUUAUAUUCUGUAGCAAGGUUAACCGAAUAGGGGAGCCGAAGGGAAACCGAGUCUUAACUGGGCGUUAAGUUGCAGGGUAUAGACCCGAAACCCGGUGAUCUAGCCAUGGGCAGGUUGAAGGUUGGGUAACACUAACUGGAGGACCGAACCGACUAAUGUUGAAAAAUUAGCGGAUGACUUGUGGCUGGGGGUGAAAGGCCAAUCAAACCGGGAGAUAGCUGGUUCUCCCCGAAAGCUAUUUAGGUAGCGCCUCGUGAAUUCAUCUCCGGGGGUAGAGCACUGUUUCGGCAAGGGGGUCAUCCCGACUUACCAACCCGAUGCAAACUGCGAAUACCGGAGAAUGUUAUCACGGGAGACACACGGCGGGUGCUAACGUCCGUCGUGAAGAGGGAAACAACCCAGACCGCCAGCUAAGGUCCCAAAGUCAUGGUUAAGUGGGAAACGAUGUGGGAAGGCCCAGACAGCCAGGAUGUUGGCUUAGAAGCAGCCAUCAUUUAAAGAAAGCGUAAUAGCUCACUGGUCGAGUCGGCCUGCGCGGAAGAUGUAACGGGGCUAAACCAUGCACCGAAGCUGCGGCAGCGACGCUUAUGCGUUGUUGGGUAGGGGAGCGUUCUGUAAGCCUGCGAAGGUGUACUGUGAGGUAUGCUGGAGGUAUCAGAAGUGCGAAUGCUGACAUAAGUAACGAUAAAGCGGGUGAAAAGCCCGCUCGCCGGAAGACCAAGGGUUCCUGUCCAACGUUAAUCGGGGCAGGGUGAGUCGACCCCUAAGGCGAGGCCGAAAGGCGUAGUCGAUGGGAAACAGGUUAAUAUUCCUGUACUUGGUGUUACUGCGAAGGGGGGACGGAGAAGGCUAUGUUGGCCGGGCGACGGUUGUCCCGGUUUAAGCGUGUAGGCUGGUUUUCCAGGCAAAUCCGGAAAAUCAAGGCUGAGGCGUGAUGACGAGGCACUACGGUGCUGAAGCAACAAAUGCCCUGCUUCCAGGAAAAGCCUCUAAGCAUCAGGUAACAUCAAAUCGUACCCCAAACCGACACAGGUGGUCAGGUAGAGAAUACCAAGGCGCUUGAGAGAACUCGGGUGAAGGAACUAGGCAAAAUGGUGCCGUAACUUCGGGAGAAGGCACGCUGAUAUGUAGGUGAAGUCCCUCGCGGAUGGAGCUGAAAUCAGUCGAAGAUACCAGCUGGCUGCAACUGUUUAUUAAAAACACAGCACUGUGCAAACACGAAAGUGGACGUAUACGGUGUGACGCCUGCCCGGUGCCGGAAGGUUAAUUGAUGGGGUUAGCGCAAGCGAAGCUCUUGAUCGAAGCCCCGGUAAACGGCGGCCGUAACUAUAACGGUCCUAAGGUAGCGAAAUUCCUUGUCGGGUAAGUUCCGACCUGCACGAAUGGCGUAAUGAUGGCCAGGCUGUCUCCACCCGAGACUCAGUGAAAUUGAACUCGCUGUGAAGAUGCAGUGUACCCGCGGCAAGACGGAAAGACCCCGUGAACCUUUACUAUAGCUUGACACUGAACAUUGAGCCUUGAUGUGUAGGAUAGGUGGGAGGCUUAGAAGUGUGGACGCCAGUCUGCAUGGAGCCGACCUUGAAAUACCACCCUUUAAUGUUUGAUGUUCUAACGUUGACCCGUAAUCCGGGUUGCGGACAGUGUCUGGUGGGUAGUUUGACUGGGGCGGUCUCCUCCUAAAGAGUAACGGAGGAGCACGAAGGUUGGCUAAUCCUGGUCGGACAUCAGGAGGUUAGUGCAAUGGCAUAAGCCAGCUUGACUGCGAGCGUGACGGCGCGAGCAGGUGCGAAAGCAGGUCAUAGUGAUCCGGUGGUUCUGAAUGGAAGGGCCAUCGCUCAACGGAUAAAAGGUACUCCGGGGAUAACAGGCUGAUACCGCCCAAGAGUUCAUAUCGACGGCGGUGUUUGGCACCUCGAUGUCGGCUCAUCACAUCCUGGGGCUGAAGUAGGUCCCAAGGGUAUGGCUGUUCGCCAUUUAAAGUGGUACGCGAGCUGGGUUUAGAACGUCGUGAGACAGUUCGGUCCCUAUCUGCCGUGGGCGCUGGAGAACUGAGGGGGGCUGCUCCUAGUACGAGAGGACCGGAGUGGACGCAUCACUGGUGUUCGGGUUGUCAUGCCAAUGGCACUGCCCGGUAGCUAAAUGCGGAAGAGAUAAGUGCUGAAAGCAUCUAAGCACGAAACUUGCCCCGAGAUGAGUUCUCCCUGACUCCUUGAGAGUCCUGAAGGAACGUUGAAGACGACGACGUUGAUAGGCCGGGUGUGUAAGCGCAGCGAUGCGUUGAGCUAACCGGUACUAAUGAACCGUGAGGCUUAACCUUACAACGCCGAAGGUGUUU